GUUGAAGAUAUGCCAAACAAAUUGUGCCUCUCUAUACAGACAGAUUUCAGGUCUCAAUUUCGACUUCAAAGGUCAACAUAUCACUGAUAUCAGGAAUCCUGUGAAACUGUGACCCCAUGUAUGGUACGUGAGCGCACAAUGUCUGUUGACAAAAGGAUAUUGGCAACUUGUGGAUGCUUGGUAUCCAAGAAUCCUACAGGAGCGUGGCUGACCGAUUUGGAACAAACAAAGGGACUUUACAUCUCACAGUCAUUUCAACAUGUAGAGUCUUGUCAACAUUGAUGGAUCAGUACAUCAGAUUUCCAGAAUCUCGUCAUGAGCUGAAGACCAUUGCCGAUGGAUUUCAUCAACUAUGUGGAAUGCCUGGCGUUGUAGGGGCUGUUGAUGGAUCCCACGGUGCAUGUCCUGCUCCAAUAUUCCAGCAUAGGUCCUUGUUUAUCAACAGUUUAGUUGUUCAAGCAGUCUGUGACAGUAACUUGAAAUGUUUGGACAUAUACUCUGGAUGGCAAAGUUCUGUGCAUGAUGCCCAUGUAUGUAUGAACAGCCCAGUAGCGCAUUAAAUUGAAAAUCUUCGGAAUGAGUACCAUGUUCUCGAGGAUUCAGCAUGCCACCUGACAAGAAAUCUGCUUGUUCUGUAUCGAGGCCAUGAACAUUUGUACCAUUUGCGAGAGAAAUUCAACAAGUGCCAUUCAUCUAAGAGUUGAUGUGGAACGGGCAAUUGGUCUCUUGAAAUGCAAAUUCAGGCGGCCAAAAUACUUAAACAUGCUAGUAGA
Dreissena polymorpha is the source of this 773-nucleotide long non-coding RNA. RefSeq lists it as uncharacterized. The transcript has 3 exons. The record is from RefSeq and is a predicted model, not a curated record. NCBI's taxonomy places the organism in Eukaryota, Metazoa, Mollusca, Bivalvia, Myida, Dreissenidae.